UGUGCGACGAACAGUACAGACGUGUGUCAUAUUUUUGCAAGAAAUUGAAGUAAUUGUGGUGUGAAGAACAUUAGUUUUGAACUGAACAAGGCGGAAUGACUGCGAGCGUCUACUUCAAAAGAGGCAUCAUGGAGGUGCAAAGUUUCAAUAAAGAUGCUGCAGCGCUGAAUGUAUCCUUCAUGAGUAGGGAAUAGUUACUGUAGACUAUUCAAAGAGUUUCUUUACGGUUACUUCGGUACAAAUACAUACAUUAUAUGUCAUGUGAGUAUAAUGUAUGUGGCACCAAAAAUAUUUUAA
Molecule: long non-coding RNA, 297 nt
Organism: Spodoptera litura
Lineage: Eukaryota; Metazoa; Arthropoda; Insecta; Lepidoptera; Noctuidae
Source: RefSeq, a predicted model, not a curated record